AAAAUAUGAAUACCAAAAACAUAUAAUUAAAAUAUAGAAUGUAUAGCAAAAAAUAUAAUAGUAAUGUGAAACCUUCUAUUGUCGCUGUUGCUGUUACGGAGGUAUAUGAAAUGAAAUUAUGUAUUUCCAAACAAAAUAAAUUUGUCUUUUUUUUGGCUGAUUAAUUGACUUUGAUGUUGUUUCUUUGUUUUGUUUUUUGUUUUUUAUGGAAUGAUUGUUUUGCCUUGAAAUGUUAAGUAUGAUUACAGGAUUAUGCUUUUGGGUUUGUUAUUACUAUUGGUUUGCACUAUGUGGGAUUAACCUUUUCAUAUUUCUUUCAUUUUAGGAUGAAGCGGAAGAGAAAGAAAAAGACCUUUAAGGCCCCUUGCACUACGAAUGAGGCUUUACAUUUGUGGGCAAGUCCCUCACUACCUCGCACUAUGGAUGGAGUAUCUUCAUCCGUUUCAUCUCCACAUAUAAUUUUUCAGGUCUAAUGAUUUUCAAGUACACGACAAGGUUGAGGAUUUUCCCGAGGGAUAACGGAAUGGGAUACGGGCACUAAGAUCCAAGUAAAAUUUGAUGAUAAGUUUCAGCCAGUGGAGGAUGAUGGCAAAAAGUUGAAGGGACAAUUGGGGUUGAUCGUGUGCAGCGGGCAUAGAGUCCCACUCACAUAUCUCAGUUGGAAUGUAAUGCAUUGGCAAGAGGUGAAGGUUUCUAUGGAUCCUCCAACAUGUCCCCUUCUAAUUUGUGCUUUGUAGGACAACUUGGUAUAUUGUCCAGAUGAAUUCAAAGAGGUUUGCAUGCGAUUUUGUAGGACAUCGUGGAAAGAUCAUAAAAGCAAGAUAAAGUCCAAGUAUUGGAUUCCAUUUAAGAAUGAUCCGAACAUUGCUUCUAAAGUACCUACUAACAUAGUGCCAACCCAGUGGAGGAAACCUGUGCAAUAUUGGGCAAGUAAAGAAGUACAUGUAUAAGUAUUCCAGUUAUCAUCUAAAAUUUUCAAAGUGUACUUGUCAUUAAAAUGUCUUAUAUUGCUCACACCACAAAUUCGUCAAUUGUAUUAGCACUAAACUACUAAAAUGACUACAUUAAAAUUCGAUUCUAAGUGUAAGAUGUUGACUUGUUAUGAUUGAAACAUAAAAAAUUAAAGUGAAAAUUGAUGUAAAAUGUAAGGGUGCAAUGUAUAUUUCUCA
Camellia sinensis is the source of this 1169-nucleotide non-coding RNA. NCBI's taxonomy places the organism in Eukaryota, Viridiplantae, Streptophyta, Magnoliopsida, Ericales, Theaceae. The record is from RefSeq and is a predicted model, not a curated record.